CUAAGGCUAAGCAAAUACCAGUACCUGAGCUCGCUAGAGCGACAACAGACGUCAUGGGUAGUAAUUUGAAGAACGCAGUGAUUGCUUUCCUGGUGCCACUUCCUUCAAUUUUCUUCUACCUUUCCCUCCUUAACCAUCAUCAUACCAACAUUAGUGAUGGCACUGCUUUUUCUCCUUUAUGGGCAUGGUGCGUUGACCACCCUCUUCUAUUGGCCUUCUCUUCUUCUUCAACGUCAAUGUCCUCUUCUGGAUCAUCAGUCACAUCCAAUCCAGCCA
RNAcentral lists this unclassified non-coding RNA (276 nucleotides) under Hevea brasiliensis (rubber tree). The record is from RNAcentral. Lineage: Eukaryota; Viridiplantae; Streptophyta; Magnoliopsida; Malpighiales; Euphorbiaceae.